Molecule: ribosomal RNA, 601 nt
Filed under: uncultured bacterium
Lineage: Bacteria
Description: bacterial LSU rRNA
Rfam family: Bacterial large subunit ribosomal RNA
Source: RNAcentral
UUUGAUCCCGAGGAUUUCCGAAAUGGGGGCAACCCGGCCGGAGUCAUGUCCGGUCAUCACCGGGCUGAAUUCAUAGGUCCCGUUGAAGCGAACGGGGGAAAGUGAACCAUCUCAGUACCCCCAGGAAGAGAAAACAAUAGUGAUUCCGUCAGUAGCGGCGAGCGAACGCGGACGAGCCCAAACUGUUCAGGUGCAAGCCUGCAAGCGUUGCCUGGAUGGAGUUGAGGGAGGUUGCUUGGGUUGGUUGCAGCCAGCCCGGGAAGUUACAAAUCACCAGUCUAGCAGAAGGUUUCUGGAAAGAGCCGCCGGAGAGGGUGAAAGCCCCGUAAGCGAAAGGCUUGGUGACUUCCUUGCAAUGUUCCCGAGUACCACGGGACACGUGGAACCCUGUGGGAAUCCGGGUCGACCAUGACCCAAGGCUAAAUACUCCUCUGCGACCGAUAGUGAACAAGUACCGUGAGGGAAAGGUGAAAAGCACCCCUGUUAGGGGAGUGAAAUAGUACCUGAAACCGUGUAUCUACAAGCAGUGGAAGCACUAUGGCCCGUCUUCGGACGMGCAACGUGCGACCGCGUGCCUUUUGCAUAAUGAGCCGGCUAGUUA